Molecule: ribosomal RNA, 373 nt
Filed under: uncultured bacterium
Lineage: Bacteria
Description: bacterial SSU rRNA
Rfam family: Bacterial small subunit ribosomal RNA
Source: RNAcentral
AAUGAACGUUGGCGGCGUGGAUUAGGCGUGCAAGUCGAGCGAGAACCCGCAAGGGGGACAGCGGCGAACGGGGUAGGAAUACCUAGGUAACGUACCCUCGGGGCGAGGACAGCCACGGGAAACUGUGGGUAAUACUCGAUAAACUUCCCAAUCAUUAUGGAAGGGGAAGCAAUGGGUGUGAUUCCACCUGAGGAGCGGCUUAGGCAGUAUCAGCUAGUUGGUGAGGUAACGGCUCACCAAGGCUACGACGCUUAGGGGGUGUGAGAGCAUGGCCCCCACCACUGGCACUGAGACACUGGCCAGACACCUACGGGUGGCUGCAGUCGAGAAUCUUCGGCAAUGGACGCAAGUCUGACCGAGCGAUGCCGCGUGC